Girardinichthys multiradiatus is the source of this 80-nucleotide small nucleolar RNA. RefSeq annotates it as small nucleolar RNA SNORD72. Lineage: Eukaryota; Metazoa; Chordata; Actinopteri; Cyprinodontiformes; Goodeidae. The transcript has a single exon. The record is from RefSeq and is a predicted model, not a curated record.
GUCUUGUCAAUGAUGUUGCCAAACACAAAUGUCUGAACGUAUGACUUUCUGUGAUUCGUUUAUAUCUGCUGAGACAAGAC